RNAcentral lists this ribosomal RNA (254 nucleotides) under uncultured bacterium. Its description in RNAcentral is "partial 16S ribosomal RNA". It matches the Rfam family "Bacterial small subunit ribosomal RNA", at positions 524 to 776 of the family's 1533-position model. The record is from RNAcentral.
GACAGAGGGUGCAAACGUUGUUCGGAAUUACUAGGCGUAAAGCGCGUGUAGGCUGCUUCGCAAGUCGGAUGUGAAAGCCCGGAAGCUCAACUCCGGAACUGCCAUUGAAACUGUGAGACUGGAGUACGAGAGAGGUGAGUGGAAUUCCCAGUGUAGAGGUGAAAUUCGUAGAUAUUGGGAAGAACACCGGUGGCGAAGGCGGCUCACUGGCUCGUAACUGACGCUCAGCGCGACAGCGUGGGGAGUCAAACAGG